AUGUGCGGCCUGCUUCUGCGCAUGGAGCACCUCAACGACUGGGACCUGCAGGCCGUCGUCAGGAGCUGCGCCACCUUCUCCUCCCGCCACCCCCAGGACCGCGCCGGUCCUCCUCCGGGGACCGCCGCGGCGCCGGUGGCGGAGACGACGGUCAAGCGGGAGCCGCGCGACGUGGCCCGGCCAGCAGCGGCGGCCAAGGACGCGUCGUCGCUGUACGGCCUGGAGUACCUGGACUUGGAUCACAAGCCCUUCUUGCUGUCGGCGCCGUCGUCGCAGUCGUGGGCGGCGGUGGAUGACCGCCACGAGAUGAUGAUCUCUUUCCCCGCGGCGGCGUCCACGUCCGGCGUGCGGCCGCGGGUGCCGCCUGGCCGGAAGCCCGGCAUACGAAGCAGCACCCCACGCCCGAAAAGAAGCAAGAAGAGCCAGCUGAAGAAGGUGGUGUGCGAGGUGCCGGUGGCCGACGGCGGCGUCUCCUCCGACCUUUGGGCAUGGCGAAAGUACGGUCAAAAGCCCAUCAAAGGCUCGCCUUAUCCCCGGGGAUACUACAAGUGUAGCAGCAUGAAGGGGUGCAUGGCCCGGAAACUGGUGGAGCGCAGCCCGGCCAAGCCCGGUGUGCUCGUCAUCACCUACAUGGCCGACCACUGCCACCCGGUGCCGACGCAGAUCAACGCGCUCGCCGGCACCACCCGCCACAAGACCACCCCUGCCGAGGGCCACGCGCCGACGACCACGACGUCGCCCAAGAGCCACGGCGAUGCCCACGAGGCGGUGAGGUGCGACGACGAAAGCAACGAGACGUCGUCCAUGGCUGUGGACGGCGCCACUGAGGACGCGGCGGGGGAUGACGGCGGCGAGUUCUGGCCGACGGAGCUGGACCUGGACGAGUUGUUGGCGCCCGUGGAUGGCGAUCUGGAUCAUGUCUUCGACGAGGACGACGCCCUGGGACGACGGCUCUCGCUAUAG
RNAcentral lists this ribosomal RNA (963 nucleotides) under Triticum aestivum (bread wheat). RNAcentral describes it as "partial small subunit ribosomal RNA". The record is from RNAcentral. Lineage: Eukaryota; Viridiplantae; Streptophyta; Magnoliopsida; Poales; Poaceae.